GAUGAACGCUGGCUACAGGCUUAACACAUGCAAGUCGAGGGGAAACGACGGGGAAGCUUGCUUCCCCGGGCGUCGACCGGCGCACGGGUGAGUAACGCGUAUCCAACAUGCCUCUGACUGAGGGAUAACCCGUCGAAAGUCGGCCUAAUACCUCAUGGUAUCGUCUGCGGGCAUCCAACGACGAUUAAAGAUUUCAUCGGUCAGGGAUGGGUAUGCGUCUGAUUAGCUUGUUGGCGGGGUAACGGCCCACCAAGGCUACGAUCAGUAGGGGUUCUGAGAGGAAGGUCCCCCACAUUGGAACUGAGACACGGUCCAAACUACUACGGGAGGCAGCAGUGAGGAAUAUUGGGCAAUGGGCGAGAGCCUGAACCAGCCAAGUAGCGUGCAGGAAGACGGCCCUAUGGGUUGUAAACUGCUUUUAUGCGGGGAUAAAGUGAGGGACGUGUCCCUCAUUGCAGGUACCGCAUGAAUAAGGACCGGCUAAUUCCGUG
This 491-nucleotide ribosomal RNA is filed under the name uncultured bacterium. RNAcentral's name for it is "partial 16S ribosomal RNA". It matches the Rfam family "Bacterial small subunit ribosomal RNA", at positions 28 to 507 of the family's 1533-position model. The record is from RNAcentral.